Molecule: ribosomal RNA, 442 nt
Filed under: uncultured bacterium
Lineage: Bacteria
Description: partial 16S ribosomal RNA
Rfam family: Bacterial small subunit ribosomal RNA
Source: RNAcentral
CCUACGGGCGGCAGCAGUGGGGAAUAUUGCGCAAUGGGGGCAACCCUGACGCAGCAACGCCGCGUGAUUGAAGAAGGCCUUCGGGUUGUAAAGAUCUUUAAACAGGGACGAAGAAAUGACGGUACCUGAAGAAUAAGCUCCGGCUAACUACGUGCCAGCAGCCUCGGUCAUACGUAGGGAGCAAGCGUUAUCCGGAUUUACUGGGUGUAAAGGGCGUGUAGGGGGGCCUGUUAGUCAAAAGGGAAAUCUGGGGGCUUAACCCCCAAACUGCUUUUGAAACUGCGGGUCUUGAGUGAUGGAGAGGCAGGCGGAAUUCCCAGUGUAGCGGUGAAAUGCGUAGAUAUUGGGAGGAACACCAGUGGCGAAGGCGGCCUGCUGGACAUUAACUGACGCUGAGGCGCGAAAGCGUGGGGAGCAAACAGGAUUAGAUACCCCAGUAGUC